UAAUAGCUCACUGGUCGAGUCGGCCUGCGCGGAAGAUGUAACGGGGCUAAACCAUGCACCGAAGCUGCGGCAGCGACGCUUAUGCGUUGUUGGGUAGGGGAGCGUUCUGUAAGCCGUUGAAGGUGUGCUGUGAGGCAUGCUGGAGGUAUCAGAAGUGCGAAUGCUGACAUAAGUAACGAUAAAGCGGGUGAAAAGCCCGCUCGCCGGAAGACCAAGGGUUCCUGUCCAACGUUAAUCGGGGCAGGGUGAGUCGACCCCUAAGGCGAGGCCGAAAGGCGUAGUCGAUGGGAAACAGGUUAAUAUUCCUGUACUUGGUGUUACUGCGAAGGGGGGACGGAGAAGGCUAUGUCAGCCGGGCGACGGUUGUCCCGGUUUAAGCAUGUAGGCGGAGGUUCCAGGUAAAUCCGGUACCUUAUUAACGCUGAGGUGUGAUGACGAGGCACUACGGUGCUGAAGUGAUAAAUGCCCUGCUUCCAGGAAAAGCCUCUAAGCAUCAGGUAACACGAAAUCGUACCCCAAACCGACACAGGUGGUCAGGUAGAGAAUACCAAGGCGCUUGAGAGAACUCGGGUGAAGGAACUAGGCAAAAUGGUGCCGUAACUUCGGGAGAAGGCACGCUGAUAUGUAGGUGAAGCCCCUGCGGGCGGAGCUGAAAUCAGUCGAAGAUACCAGCUGGCUGCAACUGUUUAUUAAAAACACAGCACUGUGCAAACACGAAAGU
Molecule: ribosomal RNA, 721 nt
Filed under: Enterobacter hormaechei
Lineage: Bacteria; Pseudomonadati; Pseudomonadota; Gammaproteobacteria; Enterobacterales; Enterobacteriaceae
Also listed under: 1 other name
Description: partial 23S ribosomal RNA
Rfam family: Bacterial large subunit ribosomal RNA
Source: RNAcentral